This 510-nucleotide ribosomal RNA is filed under the name uncultured bacterium. RNAcentral's name for it is "bacterial SSU rRNA". It matches the Rfam family "Bacterial small subunit ribosomal RNA", at positions 17 to 518 of the family's 1533-position model. The record is from RNAcentral.
UCCUGGCUCAGAUGAACGCUGGCGGCAGGCCUAACACAUGCAAGUCGAACGGUAACAGGAAGAAGCUUGCUCUUGCUGACGAGUGGCGGACGGGUGAGUAAUGUCUGGGAAACUGCCUGAUGGAGGGGGAUAACUACUGGAAACGGUAGCUAAUACCGCAUAACGUCGCAAGACCAAAGAGGGGGACCUUCGGGCCUCUUGCCAUCGGAUGUGCCCAGAUGGGAUUAGCUUGUUGGUGGGGUAACGGCUCACCAAGGCGACGAUCCCUAGCUGGUCUGAGAGGAUGACCAGCCACACUGGAACUGAGACACGGUCCAGACUCCUACGGGAGGCAGCAGUGGGGAAUAUUGCACAAUGGGCGCAAGCCUGAUGCAGCCAUGCCCGCGUGUAUGAAGAAGGCCUUCGGGUUGUAAAGUACUUUCAGCGGGGAGGAAGGGAGUAAAGUUAAUACCUUUGCUCAUUGACGUUACCCGCAGAAGAAGCACCGGCUAACUCCGUGCCAGCCGCGGC